This 66-nucleotide transfer RNA is filed under the name Ismarus sp. ZJUH_2016020. RNAcentral describes it as "tRNA-Asn". The record is from RNAcentral. Lineage: Eukaryota; Metazoa; Arthropoda; Insecta; Hymenoptera; Diapriidae.
UUAAUUGAAUCCAAACUUAGGAAAAUUAUUGUUAAUAAUUUUAUUGAAUAAAAUAUUCCAAUUGAA